This 19-nucleotide transfer RNA is filed under the name Fenghwaia gardeniicarpa. Its description in RNAcentral is "partial tRNA-Phe". The record is from RNAcentral. Lineage: Eukaryota; Viridiplantae; Streptophyta; Magnoliopsida; Rosales; Rhamnaceae.
GUCGGGAUAGCUCAGCUGA